Molecule: ribosomal RNA, 480 nt
Filed under: uncultured bacterium
Lineage: Bacteria
Description: bacterial SSU rRNA
Rfam family: Bacterial small subunit ribosomal RNA
Source: RNAcentral
GAUGAACGCUAGCGGCAGGCUUAAUACAUGCAAGUCGUGGGGCAGCAUGAGUAGCAAUACUUGAUGGCGACCGGCAAACGGGUGAGGAACACGUACACAACCUUCCUUCAAGCGGGGAAUAGCCCAGAGAAAUUUGGAUUAAUACCCCAUAAUAUAUUUGAUAAGGCAUCUUAUUAAUAUUAAAGCUUCGGCACUUGAUGAUGGGUGUGCGGCUGAUUAGAUAGUUGGCGGGGUAACGGCCCACCAAGUCUACGAUCAGUAGCUGAUGUGAGAGCAUGAUCAGCCACACGGGGCACUGAGACACGGGCCCGACUCCUACGGGAGGCAGCAGUAAGGAAUAUUGGACAAUGGACGAAAGUCUGAUCCAGCCAUGCCGCGUGAAGGAUUAAGGUCCUCUGGAUUGUAAACUUCUUUUAUAUGGGACGAAAAAGGGCAUUCUUGUUCACUUGACGGUACCAUAUGAAUAAGCACCGGCUAACU